GGGUUGUAGGGGUGUACAGGAGCCGUUGAGGAGACUUUCCCCCUCAUCCAAUUUUGAACGAUCAGGUCUUCGUUUGUGUCAGGAUGAGGUUCUCCUUCUGUUCCUGACACAGUCAAUUUCAGCUCAUGUUAGGAUGAGAUUUUUCUCCUGUUCCUAAUCAUGGCUGUGGGGGUGCAUAAGGGCCGUUGCAAGGGCCUCUCCCCCUAUCCAAUCUCUAAAUAAUCGGAC
RNAcentral lists this long non-coding RNA (228 nucleotides) under Elaeis guineensis (African oil palm). RNAcentral's name for it is "long non-coding RNA (EGUI_LNC048607)". Lineage: Eukaryota; Viridiplantae; Streptophyta; Magnoliopsida; Arecales; Arecaceae. The record is from RNAcentral.